GACGUAGGAUGCAAGCGUUAUCCGGAAUUAUUGGGCGUAAAGAGUUCGUAGGCGGCUAAAUAAGUUGGAUGUUAAAGCUUUGAGCUCAACUCAAACACGGUAUCCAAAACUGUUUGGCUGGAGACAGGUAGAGGCAAGUAGAAUUCUGCAUGUAGGGGUAAUAUCCGUAGAUAUGCAGAGGAAUACCAAAAGCGAAGGCAGCUUGCUGGACCUGUUCUGACGCUCAAGAACGAAAGCGUGGGGAGCGAACGGG
Molecule: ribosomal RNA, 253 nt
Filed under: uncultured bacterium
Lineage: Bacteria
Description: partial 16S ribosomal RNA
Rfam family: Bacterial small subunit ribosomal RNA
Source: RNAcentral